RNAcentral lists this ribosomal RNA (271 nucleotides) under uncultured bacterium. RNAcentral's name for it is "partial 16S ribosomal RNA". It matches the Rfam family "Bacterial small subunit ribosomal RNA", at positions 1221 to 1500 of the family's 1533-position model. The record is from RNAcentral.
CGUGUUACAAUGGCAGGUACAGAGGGAUGCUACCGGGCGACCGGAUGCGGAUCUCGAAAGCCUGUCCCAGUUCGGACUGGAGUCUGCAACCCGACUCCACGAAGUUGGAUUCGCUAGUAAUCGCGCAUCAGCCAUGGCGCGGUGAAUACGUUCCCGGGCCUUGUACACACCGCCCGUCAAGCCAUGGGAGCCGGGGGCGCCUGAAGUCCGGGACCGCGAGGACCGGCCUAGGGCGAAACUGGUAACUGGGGCUAAGUCGUAACAAGGUAAC